UCGAGAAUCUUUCACAAUGGGGGCAACCCUGAUGGAGCGACGCCGCGUGGAGGAUAAGGUCUUCGGAUUGUAAACUCCUGUCAUGCGAGAACAAGGUUGCAGGGCUAACACCCGUGCAAAUUGAUGGUACCGCAAGAGGAAGAGACGGCUAACUCUGUGCCAGCAGCCGCGGUAAUACAGAGGUCUCAAGCGUUGUUCGGAAUCACUGGGCGUAAAGGGUGCGUAGGCCGCGCCGUAAGUCAGAUGUGAAAGCCCGGGGCUCAACCCCGGAAUUGCAUCCGAUACUGCGGUGCUUGAGUACUGGAGAGGAGACUAGAAUUCACGGUGUAGCAGUGAAAUGCGUAGAUAUCGUGAGGAAUACCAAAGGCGUAGGCAGGUCUCUGGACAGUAACUGACGCUGAGGCACGAAGGCCAGGGUAGCGAACGGG
RNAcentral lists this ribosomal RNA (428 nucleotides) under uncultured bacterium. RNAcentral describes it as "bacterial SSU rRNA". It matches the Rfam family "Bacterial small subunit ribosomal RNA", at positions 355 to 776 of the family's 1533-position model. The record is from RNAcentral.